AUGGCCAGCCCGCGGUCGCCCGCUGCCGGCGCCCUCGCCGGGGACGAGGCGAUCUGGAGGAAGCUCCGCGAGGCGGGCUUCGACGAGGAGUCCAUCAGGCGGCGCGACAAGGCGGCGCUCAUCGCCUACAUCUCGCGGCUCGAGACCGAGGUUUAUGAUUACCAGCACAACCUCGGGCUAAUGUUAUUGGAGCGAAAGGAAUUGGUAUCCAAGCAUGAACAACUCAAAGCUUCUAUGGAGUCUGCUGAGAUCAUGCACAAGCGUGAACGAGCUUCCCAGCAAUCUGCUCUAGCUGAAACAAGGAAGAGGGAAGAAAACCUGAAAAAGAAUGUAGGCAUUCAGAAGGAGUGUGUUGCUAAUCUUGAAAAAGCACUGCAUGAUAUGCGUGCGGAAACAGCCGAAAUAAAGGUUUCCUAUGAAACCAAAUCAGCUGAAGCACUUGAAAUGAUGGAUACUGCUCAAAAGAAAUUUGAUGAGGCAGAAGAGAAGCUUCUUGCAGCAAAAUCUUUGGAAGCAGAGUGCACUCGUGCUCGUAAUGCUGCAUUGAGAAGUUUACAAGACAUGGAAGAACGUGAAGAUCAGCUUAGAAGAUACCGCCUUUCUAGUGAUCAUGAAUACGAGGCCAAAGAAAAGGAUAUUAGCUUACAAAGGAAAUCGUUGAAUGAUAUGAAGAAAAUGUUGCAUGAAAAGGAGCAGGUGCUACUGAAAGAACAAUCGCUUCUUAAUCAGAGGGAUGAAAAUAUCGUUGAGAGGUUAGCACGUGUAACUCAGUCGGAGAAAAAGUUAGAAGAGGACAAGGUGAUUCUCGAAGCUGAACGGAUGGCUCUAAUGGAAGAGAAAAACAAGCUGGAUCUUAAAAUGGAGGCAGUAGCAUCAAGGGAGGAAGCUAUAAUUCAGAAGGAAUCCUUGCUUGACAAACGGGAGAGUGAGCUGUUGAUUUUGCAAGAAACAAUUGCAAAUAAAGAACGGGUUGAGAUUGAAAGGCUGAAUCAUGAACAAGAAAUGGCCCUGGAGAGGAGAAAGCUUGAGUUUGAAACUGAGAUGGAGAAUAAGCGCUUGUCUUUUGAGGCAGAAACGGAGACGAAGAGGACAUUGCUGGAUCAAAGAGAAAGAGCUCUCAGUGAGCAAGAAUUGGCAUUUGCUCAAAGGGACCAAAAUGUUGACCUUCGGCUUGCUGAACUAGCAAGCAAGGAAGAGGCCAUAGCAAGGAGAACAGAUGAGUUGAAAGACGAGGAAGGAAAGCUCCUCUCUCAAAGAGAAGUGUCAUACAUUGAGCUGCAAAAAGAAAGAGAGGAAGUACAGAAGAUGAAAUUAUAUUUGGAGAAGGAAAAGGUUUUCUUUGAAGAGGAGAAACGGGAAGCAAUCCAAGCCCAGCAAAAUCUUGCAAUAACCCAAGCAGAUAGAGAUGAUUUGCUUACUUUGCAGAUCAAACUUAAAGAAGAAAUUGACAAUCUUAGAGCCCAAAGAACGGAGCUCGUGGCUGAUGCUGAUAGGCUGCAAGCAGAAAAAGAAAGGUUCGAGAUUGAAUGGGAGCUGUUUGAUGAAAAGAAAGAGGAACUACAAAAGGAAGCUGCCAGAAUUACUGAAGAGAGAAGAGUAAUGACAGAGUAUCUCAAUAAUCAGUCAGACAUCAUCAAACAAGAGAAGGAAAAUUUGCGUGCUGAGUUCAAGAAGAACUCAGAAACCCUCUCCUGUGAACAUGAAGAGUUUAUGAGUAAGAUGCAGCAAGAACAUGCAAGUUGGCUGAGUAAGAUUCAACAUGAGAGGGAAGAUCUUACAAGAGACAUUGAUAACCAGAGAAUGGAAUUACUGAACUUGGCCAAGGCAAGGCAGAUGGAAAUCGAUGCUGAUUUAAGGGAAAGAGAAAAGGAGUUUGAGCAGAAAAAAUCCAUGGAGCUUGAGCACAUAAAUUCUCAAAAGGUGAUGAUCAUGUCAAAACUAGAUCAUGUUGCGCUUGAAUUGCAGAAACUUGAGGAUGAGAGGAAAGAGGCUAAUUUGGAGCGUGAAAAGAGAGAGCAAGAGCUGUCUGAGAUAAAGAACACCAUUGAAGCCCUUAAUAAUCAACGAGAGAAGCUGCAAGAGCAAAGAAAGCUCCUACAUUCAGACCGAGAAUCAAUAACAGAACAAAUUCAGCAACUUGAUGUGUUGAAAGAACUGAAAAGCGAUUCUGAGAACAAGCAACUGUCUUUGAUAGAGUCUGAAAAGUCAAAGAUGAAUUAUACUGUCCUCCUUCCUUGUGGCGAAGUUCAUAAUUCAACUCCUAAGAAUUGUUCUCCACCAAAGCUUCUUGAAAGGAAACUAGAAGUGUCACCUUCAGUCUCAACACCAGUAUCUUGGGUUCGAAAAUGCGCUCAGGUGAUAUUCAAACGCUCUCCUGAGAAGAGUUCUGGUCAUGAUAAUGGUAGACUUAUUCAGAAUGGUGUACCAAAAAACCGUCGGAAAACUGCUGACAUCAAUGGAUCACUUGCUGAUGAGCUAGGUGACCAAGCUGGAGAAAUACCUCAAGUUGUUGAUGGUGCAAAAGUUAGUAAGAAAAGGAAUUAUUCGUUCUCAUAUGAUCCAAGUGAAGUUUUUGUAGAGCCAAGGCGGAAGUACCAAAGGAGCACUAUUCAGACAGUAAUUGGAGGGGAAGUUACUUUGAACAACUGCCCAUCAGUUCUAGAGGAGAAGUGCUCCAAAAAUGAACAUGAUGCCGCCCCACUUGGUGUAUUAUCUGGCAUCAGCAAGGAUGGCAAUAAAGGGCCACAGAACCUGAGAAUACCAGUAGACUCAGCUUCAUCUGAUGAUCUGGCCUUUGCAAAUGGGAAAGCGGAUAAUUCAGAUUUUGCUGAUGAGGAUGAACCUUCAGAAGAGAUCACAGUGUCCGCAACCGAACCAACCACUGGAGCACUUGAAGGCAGGGAUGAGCAUGAUGAAGAUACUGAUGACGAAGAUGAAGAGGAAGAGGAAGAAGAGAAAAGUUCGUCAGCGAAGAAAUUGUGGCGUUUUCUCAUCACAUGA
RNAcentral lists this ribosomal RNA (3000 nucleotides) under Triticum aestivum (bread wheat). Its description in RNAcentral is "partial small subunit ribosomal RNA". Lineage: Eukaryota; Viridiplantae; Streptophyta; Magnoliopsida; Poales; Poaceae. The record is from RNAcentral.